GUGGGGAAUAUUGGACAAUGGGCGAAAGCCUGAUCCAGCCAUGCCGCGUGUGUGAAGAAGGUCUUCGGAUUGUAAAGCACUUUAAGUUGGGAGGAAGGGCAGUAAGUUAAUACCUUGCUGUUUUGACGUUACCGACAGAAUAAGCACCGGCUAACUUCGUGCCAGCAGCCGCGGUAAUACGAAGGGUGCAAGCGUUAAUCGGAAUUACUGGGCGUAAAGCGCGCGUAGGUGGUUUUGUAAGUUGGAGGUGAAAUCCCCGGGCUCAACCUGGGAACUGCCUCAAAAACUGCAUGACUAGAGUACGGUAGAGGGUAGUGGAAUUUCCUGUGUAGCGGUGAAAUGCGUAGAUAUAGGAAGGAACACCAGUGGCGAAGGCGACUACCUGGACUGAUACUGACACUGAGGUGCGAAAGCGUGGGGACCAAACAGGAUUAGAUAUCCGUGUAGUCC
Molecule: ribosomal RNA, 450 nt
Filed under: uncultured bacterium
Lineage: Bacteria
Description: partial 16S ribosomal RNA
Rfam family: Bacterial small subunit ribosomal RNA
Source: RNAcentral